GACGAACGCUGGCGGCGUGCCUAAUACAUGCAAGUCGAGCGGAUUUUUAAAAGCUUGCUUUUGAAAAUCAGCGGCGGACGGGUGAGUAACACGUGGGCAACCUGCCUGUAAGACUGGGAUAACUUCGGGAAACCGGAGCUAAUACCGGAUACGUUCUUUUCUCGCAUGAGAGAAGAUGGAAAGACGGUUUCGGCUGUCACUUACAGAUGGGCCCGCGGCGCAUUAGCUAGUUGGUGGGGUAAUGGCCCACCAAGGCGACGAUGCGUAGCCGACCUGAGAGGGUGAUCGGCCACACUGGGACUGAGACACGGCCCAGACUCCUACGGGAGGCAGCAGUAGGGAAUCUUCCGCAAUGGACGAAAGUCUGACGGAGCAACGCCGCGUGAACGAUGAAGGCUUUCGGGUCGUAAAGUUCUGUUGUUAGGGAAGAACAAGUACCAGAGUAACUGCUGGUACCUUGACGGUACCUAACCAGAAAGCCACGGCUAACUACGUGCCAGCAGCCGCGGUAAUACGUAGGUGGCAAGCGUUGUCCGGAAUUAUUGGGCGUAAAGCGCGCGCAGGUGGUCUUUUAAGUCUGAUGUGAAAGCCCACGGCUCAACCGUGGAGGGUCAUUGGAAACUGGGGGACUUGAGUGCAGAAGAGGAAAGUGGAAUUCCACGUGUAGCGGUGAAAUGCGUAGAGAUGUGGAGGAACACCAGUGGCGAAGGCGACUUUCUGGUCUGUAACUGACACUGAGGCGCGAAAGCGUGGGGAGCGAACAGGAUUAGAUACCCUGGUAGUCCACGCCGUAAACGAUGAGUGCUAAGUGUUAGAGGGUUUCCGCCCUCUAGUGCUGCAGCUAACGCAUUAAGCACUCCGCCUGGGGAGUACGGCCGCAAGGCUG
RNAcentral lists this ribosomal RNA (886 nucleotides) under uncultured bacterium. RNAcentral's name for it is "bacterial SSU rRNA". It matches the Rfam family "Bacterial small subunit ribosomal RNA", at positions 28 to 896 of the family's 1533-position model. The record is from RNAcentral.